UGGCGACCGGCGCACGGGUGAGUAACACGUAUCCAACCUGCCGAUGACACGGGGAUAGCCUUUCGAAAGAAAGAUUAAUACCCGAUGGCAUAGUUCUUCCGCAUGGUAGAACUAUUAAAGAAUUUCGGUCAUCGAUGGGGAUGCGUUCCAUUAGGCAGUUGGUGGGGUAAUGGCCCACCAAACCUUCGAUGGAUAGGGGUUCUGAGAGGAAGGUCCCCCACAUUGGAACUGAGACACGGUCCAAACUCCUACGGGAGGCAGCAUG
This 265-nucleotide ribosomal RNA is filed under the name uncultured bacterium. RNAcentral describes it as "partial 16S ribosomal RNA". It matches the Rfam family "Bacterial small subunit ribosomal RNA", at positions 89 to 353 of the family's 1533-position model. The record is from RNAcentral.